CUUUGUCCCCGCUGCCGUCUCCGGAAGCAGCUGGUGCUCCGGGUUGUUGUUGGAUCCCGGUGAGCAGUGGCCGCCGCUCCACGUUCAGGUGUCGGCGGGCGCGCGGGGUGCUCUCGGCCGCAUCCCGGUGUUCGUGCACCGCCUCCGGUCUCUCCGCCCUCCGUUUCGGUGUCACAUGCGCAGCUCCCGGGAGCAGCAUGGCGGCGGGCAGGGUCCGGGUACCGGCAGCAGCAGGACCUGGUGCAGCGCUGAUUUUCGCCUUUACUCUGAGAAUAACGCUGGUAACGCACCGAUGUUUCAGUGGUUGCUCGGUCCCACUUACCCCGAUCAAGGACUUUUCGGGCCCUUGUGCUGUGCCGGAUCCCAAAGGAAACAGAGAAACUGCGAAAGUGGAAGAACCAUCCAAAAGUUCUGGUGACAGCACAGCUACUGAAACAGCGUAGAGGAAGAAGCACCCAAGCAGCAGAAGCUUGUCCAUGAGAUCCCUGUGGAACCGGUUGCAAAUGAUGUGCCUGACCUGCUGGAGGGCAAACUGAAGAGCUUGAUGAAAUAGGAUGUUUGGAGUGGCUGUGCCGAGUUAAAGCUCCAGACUCCCAGAAUUGAUGAUCAGAGAUCUAGUGAAAUAGGAAAGAGAGAAAAUCAGCCAGCAGCUUGGAGUCAUUCAUCUUUGAGACCCAGCUGGAUAUCAACUGCCACCAUUUCACCAUGGUCACCCCUUCUUUUGCCAUGGAAGGACAAAGCAGAGGGAAGAAUCCAUUGUGGUAUGCAACACAAGGUUGUAAGAGAGAGAGAGAGAGAGGAGACAACCUGUCAUUUGAUCCCACCCUGUUACUUCAGAGACAAAUCAGACAUGAGCUGGAAACUUGAGCUCAAAGACUGAACUUCCUCUGUUUCUCUCUGCACUUUCCCUCCACUGAGUCCUGUUUACCUGAUCACACACUGCUCAAAUUCUGCCCCAGCACAGACUGUAUGAGAAAAACAUGAGUCUGCAAGUUUUGCCUCAUUAGAAGCAAGCAUUAAGUAAGCAUAGGAAAGCAUAAGUGAACCUAUGGAGUAGAAGGUGAGGAGAACACCUCUUCGUGGGCACUGGUUUGAAGCAUGAAGUUUAACUUCAGUUUAACUACACAAGAUUUAACUUCAUCUCAACACACUUUUGAAAAGACCUGUCAAUAUCACCAAACAACAACAGAGGCUGCAAGCCAGUGAAGGGCUUAUUAAAUCUCCUUUUCAGUUUAGGAAACAGAAACUUUCUGGGAGACAUUUAACAAGCAUGGGAAAAAAUACAGUAGGAGCAACCAAAGCAUCCUCUUUUUAUGCCAGGUUCACUGCUUUUCUGUUGCUUCUUCACUUUUAUAAAGUAGGUUCUAUCACAAGAAAAAACAGGCGGAAAGGCUGAAAGUGCUGUUUCCAGGUGAAAAUGUUUCCAUAUUGCAAGCCUGUAAUGUCACCUCAUCUUACCAUGUUAAACAGUUGAACACACAAUGCCACUUUAAUUCAAGGCUAUUGAUAAUGUUGGUAAAGGAGGAGGAAAACAGCAACUACAAUCUGAAAACAGCACUGUGAAUACCUUUGUUUCACACAUGACAAAAACAGAUGAAAAGGAAAGCAUAUUAAAUCAUGGUGCAUGUAUGAGGUGACUGUAUGAGUCACAUGUGCAUGCUGUGUUCAGCCUGAAUGUAAGAGUGUUGACUGGAGAGACACUUGGUUAUCUAAAACUGGCACAGUCCUCCACACAAUUUAUCAUAUGAUAACUCUGUGGUCACUGAUCCUGGUUAUUAGAUCUCAGAAUUUAGUCAGCAUAUUAGGCAACCAACUAUUGGAGACCUGCCCUGAUGAUUUCUAACUGAGGGACAAAGAGGUCUCAUGCCCUCUCUAACAUGUGGAGAAUAAUGCAUGGCUCAAACCAGUACCAGGAAAAAGCUUAUCAAGGCAAAGGGGAAUAUUCCAGCUCCACAACCAGCUAUAAGCCAAGCAGACAACAGGAAAUAAGAAAUAGUCGCUGUUGCCUGUUUUAACUGAUGUGGUAUUUCUCAUGCUCAGGAGGGAGACUGGAAGCAGGCAUUGCAAAGCCACCAUUGUCACAUCCUUCAUUUGUUAAUGAAGUUUUUAAGUGUUUGUUUUGUUGAAAAGGCACAAAUUAAUAAUUUCUACCUUUUGCCCCUCUCCUCAAAAAUUUUCAGACAAACUGGCCUUUUUCAAUAGAAAUCCUUUUUAGCUGAAGUGUCAUGAGUAGCUGUUACUGUGAAUAGAGGCAUGAGAGUCCAAGCCAUAGUAACAACACAAAGUGUCAACCCAAAGGCUAUUACAGUCUUGAAUGGAGUUUGAUGCCCUCCUCAGGCACCAAUGUGCAGGGGCUGGAAAAGUAGUGUUACCUCCCUGUUAAAAUAAUUCUGCUCUGGAAUGGAGGUAGCCAGGGGUUUCCCAGAAUUUCUUAUCAGCAUCUUGUCUGAUACAAGCAACUAAGGGUCUUACCACUCCCUUUGCAGGAAUAAGAUAAUUCAUAUGUGUAUUCAUUAUUUUCUGUGCAUCUUGCAAAUGUAUUGAGAGGAAUCUAAAUUUUCUCUUUAGUUGAUACCUGUACUAAAGAGAAUUGAUCUGGAAAGCAAGGUUUAAAAAUGUCUCGAUUCAUACAGUUCAGGGUUUUUUUCCCUCUUUUGCCGGAGGAACUUUAAAGCCAAAUGCCUGAUUAUACUCCCACAGAGGAAGUAAUACAGCAUCAGUGGACUCACUCCCAGUCACAGCAACCAGCCUAGCUUGAAUGUCUCAUACUGGGUACUCAGAGCUGAUUUUUAAGCCACAAAUUGUUUUAAUAUUUUUUUAAAAAUUGGGCAGUUUGCUAUCUGCCUAAAGACUGCUUCAAUUUAUCAUUAUUCAUUUCAUUAUUCAUCGGUACAUAAUGCUCUGAGGCAGAUUGCACAUACAUGCAAAGCAGAAUGUAAUGAAGGAAGGAAUCAAUGUCCUCUUGGCUCUUUGGUUUGCUACUAAACCCUGAUGACAGUUCUACUUAGGCCACACACCUCAUCAUUUAGCUUAUAAAUUCAUGGUUUCCACUACAAUCUUGCUGGGUCUUAGCAAAGGUGUAGAAGAGUCUUGUGCUCAAGCUGAGCAGUAAAUAACUGAGCUAGCAAUCAUGAGAACUGAUGUCAACAUUUCCAUGGGCAUUUCAUAGUGCUCUGUUGAACCAAGGCAUGAGAUCCCUAUUCUUUUGUUAGCUUUCCUGAGAGAGAUAUGAUUGUUAAUAUUCAUCUUCCUCUGACACGAUUUGGCUUCAGAGACUCCAUGGGAACCAGCCAGAAUAGAAUAAUAAAAUAACAGUAAAUUGCUUGUGGCAGGAAUUGUACAUAAAGUCCCUCUAAUACAUUCAGUCUCUGGACAGUAACAAGAACAUGAUAAUGAUUUUGACUUUUAACAGGUUUUUGAUGAUUGAUGAAGUAAAUACAACCUUUAAAACAAAAAACUUCUCCCUCCCCCCGUCAUGUCUGAGCUGUCAUUAGAGAAAUCAGGUCCACCUCUUUCAUGAAUUAUUAGGAGAAUAUUAUGAAAUAUUCUCUAUUUAUGCGUUGCCUUUCUCAGUGUUCCCAUUUGCCACAAGCCCAGCCAACCCAGCUUAUUUUGUUCUGGCAUUAUUAAAACUACUGUUCCCAUUGCAAAUGCUUCCAAGGGAGAUAAUAAUAACAGUCUCUUACAUCAGAUUCUGUCAGGUCCUGGAGUGAUUAAUAUUCCUGUCUUCAAGAAGCACUGUAUAAUUUAGAGAGAGCAUAUUGCUUGGCUCAUAUGCUAUUCUUCAUGGUCUGUGAUGAGUGUAUUGUGAUCUGCCAUUAUUGCAUUACUGUUUACACAGCUUGAGAUGCCUCAUAAAGCAGUUAGGAAUGAGUCAAAAUUCAUAUAGAUUCAGAUCUGGGAAAUGAGAAAACCUGACACAAAGCUCUUCAGGCUAUUUGUUCCUCUUCAUCCCCCAUGUCACAUCCCCACUAACUGUUGCUGUUACCUUUUCCCUGCCUGGGAUGCAGAUGGCAGCUGUGUUUCUGUAUGUGUGUCCAGAGAACCCAACCUUGCAAGGAUGAUCACAGACAAAUCUGUCUCCAAAGCAUCAAGGGCUCCUUACAGUUGUUUUCUAUAUAAAUACCAUCCCAUGUCUGUGGGGAGCUGCUGCUCUAUUUUGAGACAAGUCACUUCAACUCCUUGGCAAGAACUGUCCAGGAGGAAUUAAGAUAAGUUUUUAUUUUCAUGGAAAUAGCCAUAAUCUGUAUCUCCUAGGAAGCCUGGUGAUAAACUCUCUUUUGUAUAAUACAGAAAUGAGUGAAGCAAUCCUUAUUUUGAACACAAGCUGUUCAUGGAGUGUAUUCCUGAACACUGAAAGUUACAUUCUAAUUUAUACAGCUUAUAUACAGCAUGUGGGUUCAACAGCAAGUUGCCAUGGCAAACCCAAGGGCAAAUCUUGCUUUCAGAAAAUCUGGUCUGUGCCAUAAAUGACGGCCACAAGUAUCUGAUUUUCCAGUCUGGUCUAAAACUAAAAGAAUGUCUAGAAAGAUCUAGAAAGAUCUGUCUUCUCAACACCAAAGCCAGUUUAUGGCUCCUAAAUAUGUUAUAUAUAUGCACAUGUUGCAGAUUAUUUAGAUCACCUUGUUUCUAAAGUGGUUUCCCCCAGAGAUCUUUAUGGAAAUAGUCAAACCUUGCUGACAUGAUGGGGUCAAAGCUGCACAGGAAAGGAGUUGGGGAAUCUGGAAGGAUGAGUGGAUUAUCAUUCACUGACAUGCUGGAUGCAGAUGUUGGAGCAACAGAAAUAACAUUGUAAUGACUAAAGAACCCACUAAUUCCCUCUCUUGGAUACAUACCCCUAUAGACAAGUGUAGGAAUGCAGACGAGGCAACCUCCCCUCUAACCCUGGAGCAGAAUGCAAGCCGUGACCUCUGGGUCUGUAGAAUAUGCAGCAGUGGAGAGGUGGCAGGAGUGCAUCAUGUAGUGUCAGAGCAGUUGUGAUAGAGGACAGGGCUGGUGGUGUGGGAAUAUGGAGGAAAUUAGAGACCACCUCCCCCAGUCCCCAAAGUUCUAUUAUAACACUGAGGAAACCCUUGGGUAGAAUGCAGCUGCUGCUCCCAGGGUGGGAUGUAGCUGGUGUAUGUACCUGGUGAUAGUUCCCCAGGCAACCUUGGGAUAUGCCAAGGGGAACUGACCAGAGGGUGGACCGGAGUGAAGGCUCUGUGGCCAGGCUCUGUUACAGUCCUGCAGGAGCAGGAAAAUGAAGGCACCAUGUCCUCAUAAACCACACAGCAGCUGCCAAACAAGGAAAAUAAAGCAAAGCGAGAGGAUUUUACACCCAUCAGUAACAGUGUGUUUGUGACUGGAGCCACUCCAGCUCCAUAGGCCUGGAGGUAAAAAAUGAAACUUGUGUUACUAUGGAGAAGCCUGGAAAGAUCCAAGGGCCUCCUACAAGGUCAACAUGAACAACACUGACAAACAACUGAUAGUGGGAGAGGAGGCUUUGCCCUUGUGUAGGCAGAUUAGGAAAUAAAGCUAAGGAAUCUUUAAUGAGGAGAGACUAUCCUUGAAGCUUGGUAGGUCCUGGGAGGACAUGGACUUCAUCAACACAUGCUUCACACACCAGCAAAACAUGACUAGUGUGUGCUUUCAAAGGAAAUGGUGUAACCUCAUAGAAAUUUGGUGACCGUUCCAUACAUGACAGGAAGGUUACAGGAAGUUACUAACCUUAAUCAAAUUGUAUAAAUAUGUGAAAUUAGGAAAGGGAAAGCAGGGAAGACUCCGUCAUAACUUCUGGGAUCAGUCAAUGGGCUGAACCUGUCUUGUCCCCCAUAGUGACACCCACUGGGAAAGAGCUUUAUCUUCUAUGUGCCAGAUGACUAACUCACAGUAGCUGUUAUUAGUGGUUAUAGUGUGGUUGUGUAUCACUUCAGGCUUGUGUUUGCCAGAAGAUGCCAGUACUAAACACUCCCUUAGACAUAAAAGGUUGACCGAGUCUGAGACUGGGAUUGAAUUCAGCCAUACUCAGCCUCUCUAAUAUCUGAGGAUCAGCUGGAAAGCAAAGGGGAUCCUUUCUGAACCUUGUACUUCAACAGGAGGGUCUUCCCAAUACAUCUUAAGCACUGGCCUAAGGCAACCACCAAUUCUGUGAAAGCUACAGAAAUACUCUCUAUGUCUAGGAUAGGGUGGCUGUACAAGGUACACUCUAAGCCAUGAAAGAUGGCAAACCUACUUCCAAGAUGGAUAUAGGAGAGGUAUUCAAACAACAGGUACUUGUUAUUAAUCUCAGGUGCCAUCCCCAUUGCCAACAACUGGAGCUGGCUAAUUAUUUAAUGUUUUGAAAAUAGUGAAUUAACCAAAAAGUGAAACUUCAUGUGGACUAGAAUUACUCAGGUCUGACAAAUUCUUACAGUUUAAAAUAAAGGGAAGACCUCUCUGGAACACAUGAAAAAAUAACUUCAAUGCCUUUAAAUAAACCGUACAGAAAAGUUUCUUCUAAGUGUUGCCCCAGACUGAUCUUUCCAACUCCUCAUUCUGAAGGAGCAUUUUUGUUUUAAAAUCUGUCUGAAGGUGGAAGAAGUUUUGAAUACAAAAUCACAGAAAUAAAUGAAAAAUUGAAACAUUUCACUGAAUUUGAAAUCCACUUUGGGUGCAUUUUGAGAUUAUGUUUUCUGAGCUGGGUCUCUGUUCUUGCCCAAAAUAGUCAGCUUUAGUUUAGCUUAGACUAAACCAGUCUUUCUCAUAUCAUCUUCACAGGUUUUUUGACAAGACACUAAACUGAAAAAUGGAAGUUUGCCCAACUCCACCAAUGAUCUCUCAAAGCAACAAAGCUCUAAAAAACAUUAAUCGUAUGAAUUUAUUUAGCACCAUCAGACCAAGGUUAAUAUUUCACCAGAACUGGUGUGGAAAAAAAGAGAAAUUCAAUCUUGUCUAUUCAUUGAAGACAGCCAAUGUGACCCUGCAGUUUGCAAGUUUCCACUGCUGAGCUAGAAGCACAGAGUCAAACUUCCAGUCUGGCACACAUUUUUAUAGGUUCUGUAAAAGAAACACUAAUGAGCCCUGAAUAUUCAGUGGAUACAAGUCAGCACUGUCAGGAAAACCAAUUAAAACUGGGAAAUACAUGGCCAGCAGAGAUGGUCUGGUCACUGGUACAAGGCAUCCACUUUGUGGCAUGCAAGGACUCCAAGGGAAGCAUUGCAGGAAACAGAGGCAACAGAGAAAUUGAAAGCGGAUU
Melopsittacus undulatus (budgerigar) is the source of this 7213-nucleotide long non-coding RNA. RefSeq lists it as uncharacterized. NCBI's taxonomy places the organism in Eukaryota, Metazoa, Chordata, Aves, Psittaciformes, Psittaculidae. The transcript has 7 exons. The record is from RefSeq and is a predicted model, not a curated record.